GACGAACGCUGGCGGCGUGCUUAACACAUGCAAGUCGAACGAAGAGCGAUGGAAGCUUGCUUCUAUCAAUCUUAGUGGCGAACGGGUUAGUAACGCGUAAUCAACCUGCCCUUCAGAGGGGGACAACAGUUGGAAACGACUGCUAAUACCGCAUACGAUCUAAUCUCGGCAUCGAGGAUAGAUGAAAGGUGGCCUCUACAUGUAAGCUAUCACUGAAGGAGGGGAUUGCGUCUGAUUAGCUAGUUGGAGGGGUAGCGGCCCACCAAGGCGAUGAUCAGUAGCCGGUCUGAGAGGAUGAACGGCCACAUUGGGACUGAGACACGGCCCAGACUCCUACGGGAGGCAGCAGUGGGGAAUCUUCCGCAAUGGACGAAAGUCUGACGGAGCAACGCCGCGUGAGUGAUGACGGCCUUCGGGUUGUAAAGCUCUGUUAAUCGGGACGAAAGGCCUUCUUGCGAACAGUUAGAAGGAUUGACGGUACCGGAAGAGAAAGCCACGGCUAACUACGUG
RNAcentral lists this ribosomal RNA (510 nucleotides) under uncultured bacterium. RNAcentral's name for it is "partial 16S ribosomal RNA". It matches the Rfam family "Bacterial small subunit ribosomal RNA", at positions 28 to 507 of the family's 1533-position model. The record is from RNAcentral.